CCUACGGGUGGCAGCAGUGAGGAAUAUUGGUCAAUGGCCGUAAGGCUGAACCAGCCAAGUAGCGUGAGGGAAGACUGCCCUAUGGGUUGUAAACCUCUUUUAUGCGGGGAUAAAGGUGUCCACGUGUGGAUGUUUGCAGGUACCGCAUGAAUAAGGACCGGCUAAUUCCGUGCCAGCAGCCGCGGUAAUACGGAAGGUCCGGGCGUUAUCCGGAUUUUUUGGGUUUAAAGGGAGCGUAGGCCGGUCUUUAAGCGUGCCGGGAAAUUUUGUGGCUCAACCAUGGGAGUGCGGCGCGAACUGGAGACCUUGAGUGCGCGGAAGGCAGGCGGAAUGCGUGGUGUAGCGGUGAAAUGCUUAGAUAUCACGAAGAACCCCGAUUGCGAAGGCAGCCUGCCGCAGCGUUACUGACGCUGAAGCUCGAAAGCGCGGGUAUCGAACAGGAUUAGAUACCCUGGUAGUC
This 460-nucleotide ribosomal RNA is filed under the name uncultured bacterium. Its description in RNAcentral is "partial 16S ribosomal RNA". It matches the Rfam family "Bacterial small subunit ribosomal RNA", at positions 338 to 795 of the family's 1533-position model. The record is from RNAcentral.